GACGUAGGGGACGAGCGUUGUCCGGAUUUACUGGGCGUAAAGGGCGCGUAGGCGGUCAGCACAAGUCAGUUGUGAAAUCUCCGGGCUUAACUCGGAAAGGUCAACUGAUACUGUGCGACUAGAGUGCAGAAGGGGCAACUGGAAUUCUCGGUGUAGCGGUGAAAUGCGUAGAUAUCGAGAGGAACACCUGCGGCGAAGGCGGGUUGCUGGGCUGACACUGACGCUGAGGCGCGAAAGCCAGGGGAGCGAACGGG
This 254-nucleotide ribosomal RNA is filed under the name uncultured bacterium. RNAcentral's name for it is "partial 16S ribosomal RNA". It matches the Rfam family "Bacterial small subunit ribosomal RNA", at positions 524 to 776 of the family's 1533-position model. The record is from RNAcentral.